This 450-nucleotide ribosomal RNA is filed under the name uncultured prokaryote. Its description in RNAcentral is "bacterial SSU rRNA". It matches the Rfam family "Bacterial small subunit ribosomal RNA", at positions 355 to 796 of the family's 1533-position model. The record is from RNAcentral.
UGGGGAAUAUUGCGCAAUGGUCGAAAGACUGACGCAGCGACGCCGCGUGUGGGAGGAAGCCCUUCGGGGUGUAAACCACUGUCAGGGGGGAAGAACUCUGGUUGCGAAAACAUCGUAGCCAGCUGACGGUACCCCCAGAGGAAGCGCCGGCUAACUCCGUGCCAGCAGCCGCGGUAAGACGGAGGGCGCAAGCGUUGUUCGGAAUUACUGGGCGUAAAGCGCAGGCAGGCGGUCGGUUAAGUCUUCUGUGAAACUCCGGAGCUCAACUCCGGACUUGCAGAAGAUACUGGCAGACUAGAGAGUGGUAGAGGCAAGCGGAAUUCCUGGUGUAGCGGUGGAAUGCGUAGAUAUCAGGAAGAACACCUGUGGCGAAGGCGGCUUGCUGGGCCAUCUCUGACGCUCAUCUGCGAAAGCGUGGGGAGCAAACAGGAUUAGAUACCCCCGUAGUCC